Molecule: non-coding RNA, 627 nt
Filed under: Marinosulfonomonas sp. PRT-SC04
Lineage: Bacteria; Pseudomonadati; Pseudomonadota; Alphaproteobacteria; Rhodobacterales; Paracoccaceae
Description: Bacterial large subunit ribosomal RNA
Rfam family: Bacterial large subunit ribosomal RNA
Source: Rfam by way of RNAcentral
CCGCCUAAAGAGUAACGGAGGCGCGCGAAGGUUGGCUCAGACCGGUCGGAAAUCGGUCGUUGAGUGCAAUGGCAGAAGCCAGCCUGACUGCGAGACUGACAAGUCGAGCAGAGUCGAAAGACGGCCAUAGUGAUCCGGUGGUCCCGAGUGGAAGGGCCAUCGCUCAACGGAUAAAAGGUACGCCGGGGAUAACAGGCUGAUGGUGCCCAAGAGUCCAUAUCGACGGCACCGUUUGGCACCUCGAUGUCGGCUCAUCUCAUCCUGGGGCUGGAGCAGGUCCCAAGGGUACGGCUGUUCGCCGUUUAAAGAGGUACGUGAGCUGGGUUUAGAACGUCGUGAGACAGUUCGGUCCCUAUCUGCCGUGGGUGUAGGAUACUUGAGAGGAGUUGCCCCUAGUACGAGAGGACCGGGGUGAACGUUCCACUGGUGGACCAGUUGUCAUGCCAAUGGCAGUGCUGGGUAGCUAUGAACGGACAGGAUAACCGCUGAAGGCAUCUAAGCGGGAAGCCCCCCUCAAAACAAGGUAUCCCUGAGAGCCGAGGUAGACCACCUCGUCGAUAGGCCAGAGAUGUAAGCGCGGCAACGCGUUCAGUUGACUGGUACUAAUUGCUCGAUAGGCUUGAUUUG